Molecule: non-coding RNA, 297 nt
Organism: Vicia faba (fava bean)
Lineage: Eukaryota; Viridiplantae; Streptophyta; Magnoliopsida; Fabales; Fabaceae
Source: the annotation of a GenBank genome assembly
AUGUUAGAUUUAAAAAAGAACAACAGAUUCAGGAGAUUAAUACAUACCAGUCCUCAUGGCGAACAACUUUCAUCAACAAACAACUUGGAUAAAAUGUUCAAGUGUAGCAUAUGCAGCAUAUUGCAAAAGGCCACAAGGUUAACACUGUUAAAGAAAAGGCCACUGCCACCUUGUUUUCAUUUCAAAUAUUCUAAAAUAUGGCAGCAUUUAUUCUGCAGAAUCAAAAUCAAGAACCAUAGACACAAACAAAUCUCUUUAGUACAUAGCAGUUAUCACAAAAUAAGAUCUCAGCGAUAA